Molecule: long non-coding RNA, 1278 nt
Organism: Phyllostomus discolor (pale spear-nosed bat)
Lineage: Eukaryota; Metazoa; Chordata; Mammalia; Chiroptera; Phyllostomidae
Exons: 2
Source: RefSeq, a predicted model, not a curated record
UAUUUGGAAGAAUUGUUAGGAAAAUAGAUUUCAAAGUAUUUUGUUUGAAGAUAACACUGGAGAGCAGUAAAAAAAUUAUAGCCCUCUCCUUCUAUAACAGUGGCAAAUCUGGGAGAGCAAAGGGAAGCUAAUAGGAGUAAUGAGAUUUUAAUUAAGGAAGAGUUUGAUUUUUGUGAUAGAAACAGAGACCUUGCAUUUGCUGCUGAUGACUGAAUAUCCUCUGGGAGGACUUUACGAUCAGUGUUUUACAUAGUCUGGAGUAAACUCAUUCAUUUAUUCAUUUAUUCAUUCAAUACCUGAGCCCUUACCAUAUGCCAUGCACUUUUUAGGUGUUAUUUUCAAAUUUCCCUUAGAGUAAAAAAUGGCUGUGAGUGAAGUAAACUGGCGAAAACUGUUUUCUUACUAUCUAUCAUGAAUAUAAAAGAUAUAUGAGAAAAUACAUAAUUGCAAUUUUAUCAUUUGGGGGAAGUGUCUUGAUAUGCUUUGAUUUGUUAAUACCACACUUCUUUCUAAGACAGUGACUCACAUGACACUAAUAUGGGCCAGAAUAGUACAUGUGUUUUUUGUCCUUGUAAAAAAGGUGUUUUAAUCUAAACUUUGGAAAUUGUCCUCUCCUUUAUAUAAUAGCAGAUUUUAGAGCUGUUGAGUUUGUGUUUUGACUAGGGAACGUGGGAACCACUAGUGAGUUGACCACCCAUCACUCAGGUGAAACACCAGCUAGACUGCUGGUCGGUAGGUGCUGGUUGUGAAGUUGUUCGCUCUCAGCUCCCACUGCACCUUCCAUGCUCUGCUUGGUGAUGAGACUGCAGGCAGGCCACAUUUCUCCUUUGCUGGCUGGCGUUUUGUGAGGUGGUUCUACCAGUAGUAAGCAUGUGAGAGAUUGGAACCAGAGGAAGGAAGAUGGAAUCUGCUGCUCUGUGUUAGCUUUGUCCCUAAUAGCGAUGCUACAGCCUUGGUUCUGCAGCCCACUGCCAACAGCUACUUCCUGGAGGAGGAAUUGGUGCCACUUCAACGUUUUCCACACUUGUACAGUUUUGUCGUUGCACUCAAAGAUCACAGUACUGUCAGACAGUGCCCCGGCUAUGGAAGUUUGAACCUGGCUCUAGGGUCCUGCUGACGUCCCAGGGCACAGGUGCCAGCAGAGCAGCAUCCAUUCCUCAGGUCUGACUCCCAGCUCCUCGGGCUGCCACCUACAAGCUUCUACUUCCUAAUAACCCCUUGCCUUUGUUUCCCAUUCCUCAGAGCAGUAGCUGCUUCCUGUGCUUAUUAUCUCUGUGA